GACGAACGCUGGCGGCGUGCUUAACACAUGCAAGUCGAACGGAAAGGCCCUGCUUUUGUGGGGUGCUCGAGUGGCGAACGGGUGAGUAACACGUGAGUAACCUGCCCUUGACUUUGGGAUAACUUCAGGAAACUGGGGCUAAUACCGGAUAGGAGCUCCUGCUGCAUGGUGGGGGUUGGAAAGUUUCGGCGGUUGGGGAUGGACUCGCGGCUUAUCAGCUUGUUGGUGGGGUAGUGGCUUACCAAGGCUUUGACGGGUAGCCGGCCUGAGAGGGUGACCGGCCACAUUGGGACUGCGAUACGGCCCAGACUCCUACGGGAGGCAGCAGUGGGGAAUAUUGCACAAUGGGCGGAAGCCUGAGGCAGCAACGCCGCGUGCGGGAUGACGGCCUGCGGGUUGUAAACCGCUUUCGCCUGUGACGAAGCGUGAGUGACGGUAAUGGGUAAAGAAGCACCGGCUAACUACGUG
This 468-nucleotide ribosomal RNA is filed under the name uncultured bacterium. RNAcentral describes it as "partial 16S ribosomal RNA". It matches the Rfam family "Bacterial small subunit ribosomal RNA", at positions 28 to 507 of the family's 1533-position model. The record is from RNAcentral.